UACGAAGGGGGCUAGCGUUGCUCGGAAUUACUGGGCGUAAAGCGCACGUAGGCGGAUUGUUAAGUCGGGGGUGAAAUCCUGGAGCUCAACUCCAGAACUGCCUUCGAUACUGGCGAUCUCGAGUUCGGGAGAGGUGAGUGGAACUGCAAGUGUAGAGGUGAAAUUCGUAGAUAUUCGCAAGAACACCAGUGGCGAAGGCGGCUCACUGGCCCGAUACUGACGCUGAGGUGCGAAAGCGUGGGGAGCAAACAGG
This 253-nucleotide ribosomal RNA is filed under the name uncultured bacterium. Its description in RNAcentral is "partial 16S ribosomal RNA". It matches the Rfam family "Bacterial small subunit ribosomal RNA", at positions 524 to 776 of the family's 1533-position model. The record is from RNAcentral.